UUGAAGCAACGAAACGAGGGGCCAUUGUAGUACUCGUCGCGGCAGUUUCAAAUAUAGCCAUAGGUCUUCCGCAUACUGCUAAAAUGAGCUAUGACGACGAAAAAACCAUACCACGGAUACCUUUGGCAUCAAUAAGUGUCGAUAGCGCUCAAAUGUUAGGCCGAAUGCAGCGAAGAGGGAACCGCAUCGUAUUAAGGCUCAGCAUGGACGAUGUGCUUCCCGGAAAUAUCACGUCCAGAAAUAUAUUCGGCCAAUUGCCUGGAUUCGUCUAUCCCGACGAAAAAGUUAUUGU
Bradysia coprophila is the source of this 292-nucleotide long non-coding RNA. Lineage: Eukaryota; Metazoa; Arthropoda; Insecta; Diptera; Sciaridae. The record is from RefSeq and is a predicted model, not a curated record.